UGAAAAUCUACAGGAGGGUAGCUCUCCAGGAACAGGUUGUACUGUCAUGGGCCCUCACAGAAACUCACUGGCUUCGAUGACAGGCAUGGAGCUGCCUUGCCCCUCAAAGACUGGCUUGAUGAUCUCUGAGUCACACACCGCGUAGACCUUCUGGCUCUCAACACACAACAGGCAUUGUCCAGAUGGUGGGGGGGGGAUGGUGGGGCAGGGAGGCAGGGGAGCCAUUUCACCUCGUGACCACAGAGUCAAAUGAUCCGUCCAAUGGUCAUAAACAGACUCAAUAUUUUGGCAUUGAGUAUCGUUACAGAGGUAACAGACAGGGGAGGUCUUCUGAGCUGCAAGAGAGAAUACAACAGGAAGAGAGCUAGUUAAACAGAGACCCCAGACAAUAUUAAAUAUCAAAGUUACUACACUUAGUUUUAGAUCAGUCUGGGUCAAAACACUACUAUACAUACUCACUGUGCUUUAAUAUAGGAAUCAUUUUAUGGAAUUAUGGAAUUAAAAUGCCCAGAUUGAAUGGUGAGAUCAAGUUGUCACCACUUUCAUAUUUCACUUUGAAACAUUCACUGACUGAUCCCUGUUUCAGCACCAAUACUUUGUGUAAAUCUGUGAAACUGUGACAAGGUUUGAAAAACCUAAAUGUCGGGGAGAAGUGGCUUAUUUACAGUGUAUAAAAGUACAGUAUUCAUUUCGUUUUUGACACUAUAAUGAACACAUGCAUGGCAGGCAUGAGAACAGCUCACCUUCAAAAGAAGUGCCAGAUACAGCCCAGCCAGCCAGACAUAGAGCCAGGAAGACUGUAAGAAAAAAAAACAAGGGCUCAUGCAUGUGGAUGUCAGUACAGUACAAACACCCACUCAUCGUCUUGUUAACGGUUUCUCACUUACAGUAAUCUAUAUAUGACUAAAACUCAAAAUGCAUUGUUGACUUACUUGGAAGUAUCGAUCCAUUCAUGUUUGGAUGUUUCUGUGGAGUAUCUGCAAAUUAAAAAAUUAAAAAUUAAAACAUUUAGUCUAAACAUUAUGUAAACCUUUGCUACCAUUCAUCAUUCUAAUGUCCUCGAGUACUGAGCAGGUGGAUCUAGGGGUGUGGCGUUACAAAUAUUUUGACAACACAACAAUGAUUCCCCCAGUCAUGAAGAUGGAUAUAUCAUAUUCUAGUAGGCUAUAGUCUAGUCCCCACUGGACUGAUCAUCCCCAGGGGUCUGUUUUAGAAGGGUUCUGAGUCUGUGUGUGUGUGUGGGACAUCAACCAACCUCAGAGAUAUCUAUUUUAGCCCCAUGGUUUCAUGAUCCCUCCGCUGUACCUCACCUACCCUAAAGCUCAGUUUUAUAAAAUGUUAAUAAUAGGCCUUCAUUUAUCCUGGUUAGUCUUAUUGAGACAAUUAAAAAACGCAACAACCAACCUCAGUUCAAUAUUGCAGAUCUAUUCUUCUCUUCCGUAUUGUAAUAUGAACCUUCAGACAAGCAUGUAUGUGACAUUUCGUCUAUGUUUUGGUGUAACACAAUAGCACACUCAAGUCGUGAAAAUAAGUGUAACCGAUGUGAAAUGGCUAGUUAGUUAGCGGUGGUGCGCGCUAAUAGCGUUUCAAUCAGUGACGUCGUUGUGUUGUAAGGGCCGCGGCUUUUGUGGCGCGAUGGGUAACGAUGCUUCGUGGGUGUCGGUUGUUGAUGUGUGCAAGGGUCCCUGGUUCGAGCCCAGGUUGGGGCGAAGAGAGGGACGGAACCUACGCUGUUACAUAUGCAUAAAUAGUAUUUCAGCAGAUUUCGUGCAUUUUUGUGUGGCUUAAUUUGUGUGAAAAUACAUUUUUUGUGCGACUUCAUUCAUAGGAAAAUACCUUUUUUUUGUGGGCAAACUUCGGAACAAUCUUUUGAAACGUAUUGGAGCAAAGCAUUUUGGGCAAUGGUGUUGUACACUGCCUUUUUUGUAUUCCACAUGUUAACAACCCAAUAUUGUUAAUCAAACAGGUUGUCAACGAAUUAAAUAUAAUAUAAUAAUAGCCUUACAGGUUUUAUUUUUAUUAAUGCCAAUGCUGUUUUCUCUGCUUGUUUUCGCUUAAUAUUUUGGGAUACUGUUGCUAUGUCCGAUUUUAUGAGGGUUUCCAGACUGGAGUGUAAACCUGUAUUUGUAUGUUAUUUUUAAGGUAUCAAUGAAGGUAUUUCAUUGGUGAAUGGGGAUACAUUUGCAUGACGGUAAAUGAAUUUAUCAAUAAAUAUGGGGAAACAGAAGACCUGCAAAAAAUAAUAUGUUUGGUUUAAAUGUCCCUGUUGCAACUGCCUGGUAUUUGCAAUUAUAACGAGUCUGGACUAUGAUCUAUUAAGCCAUAUCAAUGUAGUUAGACAUGUUAAUGUAAAAUAAUGAAUUAUGUUGGCUUACACUUAUGGCACUUCCAAGGCCGUUUCAUGAUGGUUAUUACGGUCGUGUCAAUCAGGUUAUAUACUUAGGCUGUUGUAACAAGGCAUAUGCCAGCAUUGUAGACCUACUGCCUCUGCCCAGAGGACUACUAGGCUUUCAUGGCAACGACCGUUAAGAGUUCACUUUGCCACGUAUGAGCCCUGGUUAGAGUCGCUGUUGCAUCUUUCACUUUCUUCCACUACAUUGGUGGCAGCGUUAGGAUCACGUCCAGCUCAUGUCUAGUUAUGUGAACCAGUGGUGAGAAUCAUUCUGGGUUUCAACAUUUAUUCAGAAGGAAAUCCUCUGUGACUGUCUAAUUUACAUCAGUUAACUUACCAGUGUGGAACCAAAACAAACACAUUCUACACAUUUAUAAAUGACCUGUUUUAAAGUGUUCUUACAACCAUGUUGUUCUGUUGUUACUGAAGCUUAUAUAUCUAAUAACCUGACAAUGAUCCGCAUCAUAUUGGUAGACAAAUAAUGUGUGUUACGCAGAAAAACACAGCUAUGCUUUUUUUUUAGGAUGCAAACCACUAAUAUGAUUCACUAGUCUACUUCCGCAUGGCAAGCGGUACGGAAGUGCCAAAGUCUAGGACAAAAAGGCUUCUCAACAGUUUUUAUCCCCAAGCCAUAAGACUCCUGAACAGAAAAUCAAAUGGCUACCCGGACUAUUUGCAUUGUGUGCCCCCCCACCCCCAACCCCUCUUUUUACGCUGCUGCUACUCUCUGUUUAUCAUAUAUGCAUAAUCACUUUAACUAUACAUUCAUGUACAUACUUCCUCAAUCAGCCUGACUAACCGGUGUCUGUACUUUUAUAGCCUCGCUACUUACCGGUGCCUCGAUACUUGUAUAGCCUCGCUACUGUAUAUAGCCUGUCUUUUUACUGUUGUUUUAUUUCUUUACCUACCUAUUGUUCACCUAAUACCUUUUUUUUUUGCACUAUUGGUUAGAGCCUGUAAUUAAGCAUUUCACUGUAAGGUCUACACUUGUUGUAUUCGGCGCACGUGACAAAUAAACUUUGAUUUGAUUUGAUCCAUCCCGUUCUGAUCUAAUGAGAGGGAUGUAGGAUUUUCUACGGGCUAGAAUCGAGGCCUUUCCCAGUCAUGAAGUACGAAGCUAUAGGCCCCUGUUGGUUCUCAUUGGCAAAGGCUGAACUCAAGUUAUGUCAGAUUCUCCUAUACCACUUUGCCUAACAUCUUAUACCCCAGAGGUUGUAAAUAAACCCUUUUUUAAAGGUGAUAUAACUUGUAUCAUUAUUAUAGGGCUGUGAAACCUAUAGCCGAAUGGCUUCAGACUGAGCAUUUCUCACCAUCUAUUUACACAUUGCAAUUUUCGUUUUAUAACAGGUAGUGUCCAUUUAUUUACAGUAGUGAACUAUUACUUUCUUCAGUGGAAAUACAGAAUAUAUAUAAAACUGUCAAAUAUACCAAAGCUAAAUCAAGUAGAGAACUACAAACAUUUAACCAGUUAAAGAUAAUGAAUACAUGACAACUAGAAUAUUUUAUUAUAAAUAAUGAAUACAAAAGAGUUGGCUAUAACAGUACAAACAAAGUGAGUGUGUGUAUAUGUGUGUUAGUGUUUGUGUGUGCAUGAUCAUUUCCAAUCAUACAACUGUAUCUCCAUUCCCCAAUUGAAUACCUUCAUUGUUAACACAAAAUAUAUAUAUACUGUAUGUAUAUCUUUUUGGGUCCUAUCUGACAACCCUCAUAAAGUUCGACAUAGCCUUGUAUAAAAUGCAUUAUGAAAGAAAUGGUGUAAUGUACACGUGGAGCCUUGUAUUAAAUGCAUUAUGAAGAAAAUGUUUUCAUGUAUGAUGAUGGCCUACUUUAUAAUAAGGUGGUAGGCCUAAUUUGGUGUUUUACGAAUUAAAAAAUGUAAGUGUAUUAUACAAUUAUUUUAUACAAUAGGCUUCAUGUCGGUACCAACUUUCAUUCAGAAACGAAGGCUUAAUAAUAAUAAUAAUAAAA
RNAcentral lists this long non-coding RNA (4360 nucleotides) under Salmo salar (Atlantic salmon). RNAcentral describes it as "lncRNA (ENSSSAG00000107406.1)". The record is from RNAcentral. Lineage: Eukaryota; Metazoa; Chordata; Actinopteri; Salmoniformes; Salmonidae.